GGCCAUGUGGCCAUUGGUGGCUGACUUUUCUUCGUUUCAAUCUGCUGAUUCUCUCUUCAAAUUAUGGCACCGCAUUACACACCCAUGACCUACCCUCAGUUCGGUCGGUCAGCUCCACAACCAUUAGUCUCCUUCCCUUUUGCUCUAAAAAGCCAGCCAAUAUUUUUUCACUUUUGGAUCAUGAUCUCCUGGUCGUGGCUCUGUGUAUAUUCUUUCUAAAAUAAUGAGAACAGAAGGCUGGUGCGGUUUUGUAUAUGUUUUGUGUUUUUUAUGGGGUUAUUAAUUGUUUGAAAAAUGGGGAGAAGAUUGGCAUUGAUGUUUAUUAGAAGUUAUCCACUCCGAUCCUUUUUGACUAUCCCCAUCCAAUGAAUCACUUAGCACGAUCUCUAUAUCUUCCGCGGACCCUCUUCUUGUUCUUUCAUUAUUCAUAGGAUUUGAUGUUCGCCAAACUCUCAAAAGCUUUAAUAGUUUUCUGAUUUCCUCCUCUAAGUUUCGGAGCAUUCCAGAUCAUGAUCGUAGAAUUCGAAAGUAGAAAACCAGACCUUCCCCUUUACCUCCAGAUCUAGAGGAGUUUUCGGCAAAAUCCAGGAAACAAAAAGAUGGCCAUGGCACCCACCGUGAAGGUAGUACUAGGCUCCAUCGCCUUUGGGAUCUUCUGGGUCCUAGCCGUUUUCCCCGCGGUGCCCUUCCUCCCUAUCGGAAGGACUGCAGGAUCUCUUCUUGGCGCCAUGCUCAUGGUCAUCUUCCGCGUGAUCACUCCCGAAGACGCCUAUGCGGCGAUCGACCUCCCCAUCCUUGGCCUCCUCUUUGGUACCAUGGUCGUUAGCGCCUAUCUCGAAAGGGCCGAUAUGUUCAAAUAUUUGGGUAAAUUGCUCUCAUGGAAAAGUAGAGGCAGCAAGGAUUUGCUCUUCCGAAUCUGUCUUGUUUCUGCCAUCUCCAGUGCUCUAUUUACGAAUGAUACUUCUUGUGUUGUUCUCACCGAAUUCAUCCUCAAAAUUGCGAGGCAGAACAAUUUGCCGCCGCAGCCGUUCCUUUUAGCCCUAGCUUCUAGUGCCAACAUCGGGUCCGCCGCCACUCCGAUCGGUAACCCGCAGAACCUGGUAAUCGCUGUUCAAAGUAAGAUUUCUUUCGGGAAAUUCCUGUUUGGUCUCGUCCCUGCGAUGCUUGUGGGAGUACUUGUGAAUGCUGCCAUCCUCUUGUGCUAUUACUGGAAAUUGUUGUCCAGUGAGAAGGAUGUGGAAGUGGCUCAAGCAGCAAAGGAUAUGAUCGCCGAAGAGGAUGUCACUUCUCACCGUUUUUCGCCGGCGACGAUGUCACACCUUGGUUCUAUGAAUUCUCAGGAUUGGAAUUCUAUGAUCGAAUCGAUUCCUCAGAGCCCAUCGAUAAAUGGAGAGUUUGGGCAUGUGGAGACAUUGAGGAACAGAGUUAGUUAUAGUGAGAAUGACAUACGGCCGGCCACAAGUGCUGGAACUGAGUCUGCAAAGGUUUCGAAUGCAUCGAAGGAGCUGGGGGGGGUUGGUGGAAUUCCCCAAAGGAGAGAGGAAGGUGCAUCUGGGAGGAGAUAUGUGAGAAAUGGGAGCUGGAUGAGUGGCAUGAAAGAAGGGUUUUCUAACCUCUCUUUGGAGGAAAAGGAAAUUCCCGUGGAGAGGUGGAAGAGAUUGUUGUGGAAGACGGGUGUGUAUGUUGUGACUAUUGGAAUGCUCAUUGCUCUUCUAAUGGGGCUAAACAUGUCGUGGAGUGCGAUUACUGCUGCUCUUGCUCUCAUUGUACUGGAUUUUAAGGAUGCCCGUCCUUCUCUAGAGAAGGUUUCUUAUUCAUUAUUGAUAUUCUUUUGUGGGAUGUUCAUUACCGUUGAUGGUUUCAAUAAAACUGGCAUACCAAGUGCUCUAUGGGAUUGGAUGGAACCAUACUCACGGAUUGAUAGUGCUGGUGGAAUUGCGGUCCUUUCCCUUGUUAUCCUUAUUCUCUCAAAUGUUGCCUCCAAUGUACCUACUGUUACUGCAUGAUAAUGCAUGAUAACGAUAAUAAUCUUGCUGGUUAGUCUGCAUUUGUCUGCAAUGACUCAGUAUUAUCUCUUCAUUAGUGUACCUCAGGUCCUUGUUCUGCUACUUGGAACUCGAGUGGCAGCAUCUGCAGCAAGCAUCUCUCUGGCUGAAGUGACCAAGGCGUGGCUCAUAUUAGCAUGGGCGAGUACGGUGGCUGGGAAUCUAUCAUUACUGGGAUCAGCUGCAAACUUGAUAGUUUGUGAGCAGGCUCGUCGGGCUCAGUUUUUUGGUUACAACCUCUCAUUCUGGAGCCAUCUGCGUUUUGGGUUGCCUUCAACACUUGUUGUUACAGCGAUCGGCUUGCUACUUAUUAGGAAUUGAUGAAUGGAUCUGGUGAAGAACCAUGUAGAGAUGAAUCUUUUGUAUUUUACAAUGGCAUUUCAGUCCAUGCCGAAAAAGACAAAUUGGUAGCCGCUCUUUCAUGGACAUUGUUGAGGCGACUAAUAGAAGGUAUGCUUGAUAGUUGAGGAAAUUCUAAAUAAAAUAUGUUGGGUCUUAUCUUAUAAAACAAGAGUCACCAUAAGAGAGCACCCAAGCAGACGAGACGCUCAGUUUAAGCAACCAUUGAGUGGAUAGAGAUGACCUGCAUAAUUUCAGAGCUUCAAUACCCUGCAAGAAGCCUCCCUGACAACGGUAUCAUGUCUUUAACGUGUCAAGCUUGUUGCCAAAUUUUGUUGCUCUUCAGCUGUUGAUAUCUUCGUUUAUGUUUUAUUGAGCAAUACGAUUAGUAAAUGUCUUAGUAAUUUCUUUGGGGUAAAUUCUUUUAGUAAAAUAUCAGUCUUCGGUUUGUCA
Molecule: RNA transcript, 2837 nt
Organism: Elaeis guineensis (African oil palm)
Lineage: Eukaryota; Viridiplantae; Streptophyta; Magnoliopsida; Arecales; Arecaceae
Gene name: silicon efflux transporter LSI2
Source: RefSeq, a predicted model, not a curated record